This 440-nucleotide ribosomal RNA is filed under the name uncultured bacterium. RNAcentral's name for it is "partial 16S ribosomal RNA". It matches the Rfam family "Bacterial small subunit ribosomal RNA", at positions 338 to 795 of the family's 1533-position model. The record is from RNAcentral.
CCUACGGGUGACAGCAGUGGGGAAUAUUGCACAAUGGGGGGGACCCUGAUGCAGCGACGCCGCGUGGGUGAAGGAGUACUUCGGUACGUAAAGCCCUAUCAGCAGGAAAGAAAAUGACGGUACCUGACUAAGAAACCCCGGCUAACUACAUUCCAGAAGCCGCGGUAAUACGUAGGGGGCAAGCGUUCUCCGGAUUUACUGGGUGUAAAGGGAGCGUAUACGGCAUUGCAAGUCCGGAGUGAAAGCCCGGGGCUCAACCCUGGGACUGCUGUGGAAACUGUAAAGCUGGAGUGCGGGAGGGGCAGGCGGAAUUCGUGGUGUAGCGGUGAAAUGCGUAGAUAUCAGGAGGAACACCGGCUGCGAAGGCGGCCUGCUGGACCGUAACUGACGUUGAGGCUCGAAAGCGUGGGGAGCAAACAGGAUUAGAUACCCUUGUAGUC